This 697-nucleotide unclassified non-coding RNA is filed under the name Hevea brasiliensis (rubber tree). The record is from RNAcentral. Lineage: Eukaryota; Viridiplantae; Streptophyta; Magnoliopsida; Malpighiales; Euphorbiaceae.
GGAAAUCCAAUGGCCGCGGCGGUGCUGGCGGUGCUACUUCUGCUCUCCUGCAGCAGGGAGGCGGCAGGAAGCAAGGGGUUGUUCAUUCUGGACAAGUUCGAACAGCCGGUGUGGACCGACGCCGGCGAGGUCAGGGUGGUGCGCGGGCUCCGGUCACUGGAGCAUCCCCAUCCCAUCGACCUGGCCUUCAUCUCCAUGGAGCCUAACACCCUCUUUGUCCCACAGUACUUUGAUUCCAGCGUCAUCCUCUUCGUCCAAAGAGGUGAUGCCAAGAUCAGCUGGAUUUACAAUGAUGAGUUGGUGGAGAAGGAACUCAAGCACGGAGACAUCAACCGGAUCCCGGCUGGCUCCACCUUUUACAUUGUCAACACCGACAAAAGCCAGAGGCUGCAGAUUAUCGGCGCCAUUGACACAUCCGAGAGCUUAAUCUUUGGCGGCACCUAUAAUGCUUUCUUCAUCGGUGGAGGCCUCUACCCCAAAUCAAUCCUCGCCGGAUUCGACCCCAUCACCCUCGCCACUGCAUACAACGUCACGCCCGAGGAAGUCGCCAAGGUGAUAGGGACGCCGACCGGCGGCCCCAUCGUUUUCAACAACGGCAAGGCACCGGAACUCAACGGAGAGAUAGCAUCCAUAAUACAUGGAAAGAUGAGGUGGACGGAGAAAGGAUAUCAGAGUCGAACAUGGUCACCGAGGACGC